Molecule: long non-coding RNA, 450 nt
Organism: Tachysurus fulvidraco (yellow catfish)
Lineage: Eukaryota; Metazoa; Chordata; Actinopteri; Siluriformes; Bagridae
Exons: 3
Source: RefSeq, a predicted model, not a curated record
AAUGAUUGUGAAGAAUUUAAAAAGAAUGUUUUUCUUUCUAUGCAGUGACAUGUACUAAAGCCACACAUAGUAACAGUAGAGCGAUGCCUUCGGUAACGACGACGGUGGAAUAAAUCUGUCUUCAUUAAGUCGUCUUUUAACUUGGUGAAAAAUAAGACAUGGACCCAGAGCUCUGUUGUGUGCUGUUUGGAUCAUUUUGCUUGAAACUUGCUAUGUUUUGCUAUGUGGAUCAGAGGAUGUGAGACCAUCUACAAGAGCAGAAAGUUGGCUCAGUUGCAGAAGGUCCAUACAAGAGGUUCUCCAAAGGAUCACUACCGAGCAUAUCCUGAAUCAUGCCAACGCGACGGCGGUAUGGAGCAGGUACCCCUGGGUUCUCUGGGCGCUCGGACGAGCGGAGCAGUAUAGAACCCUGAGCUCGUCUCCAAACCCCCAGGAGUGGCCCAGGCCCAG